This is a non-coding RNA of Paramuricea clavata, 478 nucleotides long. NCBI's taxonomy places the organism in Eukaryota, Metazoa, Cnidaria, Anthozoa, Malacalcyonacea, Plexauridae. The record is from the annotation of a GenBank genome assembly.
CCCGAAUAUCUUGAUGGAUCAUUACAUUUUUCUAAUGAAAAUGUGUUGUCUUUUCAUUAUGUCAAUUUGUCAUAAUGCGGCUAAUAGAUAGUACUGAAACAGUAUAAGGGGGAACAAAAUCCGUGAAAUUUUACCAAUUCGAGAAGCCUUAAGAUUUGCCAACAAGAACACAAACAGCACACUGACUAGGAAUAAAGCUCUUCAAAAUAUAUUUUGCAAGAUCUUCUUAUAACAAAGCCAAAAGCCAUGCAAUAUGUUGUUCAGUCCAACUGGCUGUCAAAUGUUCAGUCCAACAGUGAGGUUUCACAUCCGGAGCUAAUUAAGCUUCUUCAGAUUACAAUCUCCACUUAGUCAACCUUGCAAACGUAGUUCCUGCCAAUCUUCUUCAAUCUCUUCGGUUGUUGACAUGUUAAUUAUUAUUCCCCGACUUUAAUAAGGCAUGCCAUGUGUCAUAUACAACAAUAACCGAGAUGAAUUC